Molecule: ribosomal RNA, 378 nt
Filed under: Triticum aestivum (bread wheat)
Lineage: Eukaryota; Viridiplantae; Streptophyta; Magnoliopsida; Poales; Poaceae
Description: partial small subunit ribosomal RNA
Source: RNAcentral
AUGGUUUACGGCCCCGUCAACGAUAGUAGGAAGGAUGACUUUCUAUUAGAAAUAGCUAGUACGACGCCAUCCACAAACGACCCUUGUCUCAUCAACGGUGAUUUCAACCUCAUAUACAAAGCUAGCGACAAGAACAAUAGCAACAUAAACCGUAGAAUGACGGGAAAAUUCCGGACAGCGAUCGACGCCGCGGGCCUCCGCGAGAUUAGAUGCAAAAAUCGUAGGUUUACUUGGAGAAAUGAGCACGAGGACCCAACCCUAGUCAAUAUCGACAAGUUUUUGUGCAACACUGCUUGGGACGUCCUUUUUCCGUCCUUCCUAAAGGAAAUAUGCCCUAGAGGCAAUAAUAAAGUUAUUAUUUAUUUCCUUAUUUCAUGA